UGGGGAAUAUUGCACAAUGGGCGCAAGCCUGAUGCAGCAACGCCGCGUGCGGGAUGACGGCCUUCGGGUUGUAAACCGCUUUCAGCAGGGACGAAGCGCAAGUGACGGUACCUGCAGAAGAAGCACCGGCUAACUACGUGCCAGCAGCCGCGGUGAUACGUAGGGUGCGAGCGUUGUCCGGAUUUAUUGGGCGUAAAGAGCUUGUAGGCGGUCGGUCACGUCGAAAGUGCAAACUCAGGGCUUAACCCUGAGCCUGCUUUCGAUACGGGCUGACUAGAGGAAGGUAGGGGAGAAUGGAAUUCCCGGUGGAGCGGUGGAAUGCGCAGAUAUCGGGAGGAACACCAGUGGCGAAGGCGGUUCUCUGGACAAGACCUGACGCUGAGGCACGAAGGCCAGGGGAUCAAACGGG
This 409-nucleotide ribosomal RNA is filed under the name uncultured prokaryote. Its description in RNAcentral is "bacterial SSU rRNA". It matches the Rfam family "Bacterial small subunit ribosomal RNA", at positions 355 to 776 of the family's 1533-position model. The record is from RNAcentral.